GAAUAUUAGUCAAUGCUCGAAAGAGUGAACUAGCUAACUGAAAUCAAUAAUAAAAAUUGAUAACAUAAGGGAAAAUAAUGAUAUUACCUUAUUAUUAGUGUCGUCCAAAACUGGUGCCAGAAGACUCGGUAAGGCCAGAGACACAAACGUUAAUCGUCUUAAUCAGGCGUAAAGGGUUUGUAGGCGGCUUUAAAAUUUAUUUAUUAAAAAAAAAAAUAAUAAAUAAAGAAAAAAAGCUAGAAUCAAAUAGAGGAUAUAUUAAAUAAUGCUUAGAGUAGGUCUGAUAUCCUUAGAUACUAAGUAGAAUAUUAAAGGCGAAAGCUUUUUUCCAUUAAUGAUUGACGCUCAGAAACGAAGGUGAGGAUAGGAAAUAGGAUUAGAUACCCAAAUACCCCUCUCUGUCAACGAUGAAUGGUAGUUAUUAGUAAAAAUUUUAUUAAUGGCAAUGUUAACACGAUAACCAUUCCGCCUUGUGAGUACAACUGCAAAGUUGAAAACAAAAAAAUUAGUCGGUUUCGGAGCAAACGAAGUGAAGCAUGUUAUUUAAU
RNAcentral lists this ribosomal RNA (548 nucleotides) under Russula laeta. RNAcentral describes it as "partial 12S small subunit ribosomal RNA". It matches the Rfam family "Bacterial small subunit ribosomal RNA", at positions 359 to 950 of the family's 1533-position model. Lineage: Eukaryota; Fungi; Basidiomycota; Agaricomycetes; Russulales; Russulaceae. The record is from RNAcentral.